GUUAGGAAAUGGUGAUAUAACUAU
RNAcentral lists this small RNA (24 nucleotides) under Arabidopsis thaliana (thale cress). Its description in RNAcentral is "ATSL258320". The record is from RNAcentral. Lineage: Eukaryota; Viridiplantae; Streptophyta; Magnoliopsida; Brassicales; Brassicaceae.